CUUAAUUUGUGUUCAGAAGAUCAACGAAGGUCUUACGGGUGUGGAACGGCAUGAGGAUAAAGGGGCAGAGACGAGAUAGAAGUGGACAGGCCGCUUUUACCCUCCGGCAGCAUCCAGCGUCGUUAGAGAAACUCACCUCAGCCGGUCUGACAGCCACCCCUCCCGGCCAGUCCACAAGUCAGCCCGAUAAAACACACCUUGGCAAGACUGAUUUCCCACAAGCACAGUCAACAAGAAGAAUGUCUGGACUAUAAACAUGCAGCCAAGCACGAUGAACAAGCCAGAAAUACCUGGUGGUGAUAACUCCCAUCUCUUCGAUAUGAGGUCUGGACGGG
Long non-coding RNA from Megalobrama amblycephala (Wuchang bream), 335 nucleotides. RefSeq lists it as uncharacterized. NCBI's taxonomy places the organism in Eukaryota, Metazoa, Chordata, Actinopteri, Cypriniformes, Xenocyprididae. The transcript is spliced from 3 exons. The record is from RefSeq and is a predicted model, not a curated record.